Non-coding RNA from Macaca mulatta (Rhesus monkey), 3123 nucleotides. The record is from RefSeq and is a predicted model, not a curated record. Lineage: Eukaryota; Metazoa; Chordata; Mammalia; Primates; Cercopithecidae.
UUUCUAUAUUUUUGACCAGAUCCUGGCUGAUGGAUAUACUGAAGGCAUGAACGAUAUUAGUUGAACAAGGAAAUACACUUGAUCCAAAUUGUGAAGUUCUCUGCAGUGAAAUAUUAAAGGUACAGAUUGGAAUGGACAGCAGUGUCGAUUCCACUUGAUCUUCUUGAAGCACAACUUAACUGCUUUGUUGUAGCUGUCAGUCCUAGAGACCAAGUGGUAGAGGGGAUAGAUAGCUUAUCUUCACUCUCACCACCUAAUUACACCUCCUUCAACUGAUUUCUUGGGCACAUCACCUCUCAAACAUUGACUUUUGUUACCGCCCUGAUACUGCUUACUUCUAUGCCCAUAACAGAUGUGGCCUUUACGUGGCCUUCUUAUCACCAAAAAGCUUGAAGGAUAUGGACGAGAGUGAUACGCCCUUUGAGUUAGUAUCUGCUAAAAGCAGGACUGGUUUCAGAUGAGAUGUCAUAUUUGUCAUGUGCAGCACUGCCUGCCUGAUCCACUGUGUCACAUUUCUUCUUCUAGUAUGUGUCACAUUAUGCUAGGUCGUGCCAUCAGAGAUAACAAUAAGACAUGCUAUUACUAGAACAACACAUUGUUGCCAUAGAUUCAGAAAGCUCUGGUUCUUAUAUAGUCACCAGAGACACAUGAGCUGGAUCUUGUAGCACAAAGUCCUGCAGCCACCAAACAAAAUAUGCAUCUUAUUUUUUCCAAAACAAAAAAAAGUCAAUAGACUUGAAGAAAUCAUGAGGUAGUAUCCUGGGGAAAACAACCCCAUCGAUGUUGAAUUCUGAUCUCCAGUGCCUCUUUACAUUCAGCUCUUGUCUCACAGGAAUGGCAGUCAUUUGGGAUAAAUUGUGCCUUGACACGCUGGCACCAGACAGAUUUGCAGGAGCAUCUUUAUACCUUUCAAAACGAUCUUCCAUUUAAAUAGAUAAGAUGGUCUGGGUCUUGCCACUUUGAUUCAUAUUUAGAACCAGAACAGAUUUCUCUUUCAGAGAACACAUUUCUCCAAAUCGAUGUCUGGAAUUGCUAAAUAAAUUUCAAAGAAUAGAUUUUUUUUUCUGACCUUAUUUGAAUGUCUAGACAUUUGUGGAUUAUUGAAUCUAAACCAUCUAAAACACCAGGCCCAUGUUUUCCCCAACCAAAUUUAACCUGUAGAUUAAGAACACAAUUAUGUGUUGUAAAGUCAGAGCUUCGGGGCCAGGCUUGUUGGAGGAGAACAGAGAAGUAGAAACAAAUGAAAUGAUCACUUAAAAAACCUGACUCGAAGGAGAAAAAAAAAAUGUGGCAUAGACAAUCAGAGAACAAUCACUGACCAAUUUAUUGAUGCUGAUAUUAGGGCAGGAAGGGUACAAAGGAGGGAAGGGGAAAGUCUAAGAAAAUUAAUGUAAUUGGAAAAGGGCUAGUUAAACCUGUUCACAAAUAAUGCAUAUUUACAUUAAACAUGUUUCAUGUUUAGAGGCUACUCACCAGCCUUUUUUCAUUUCAAAUUCAAACUAUUGUAAGCCUGUUAUAUUCUAUUAGUAAUUGCUAUUAGAUGGUAACUUAAAGAACAAUUAUAUUAUAUGCUGGUCCACAGGAGGAGGCUGUAUCAACACACCUGGAAAUAGUAAAAGGGAUUCCUUCCCCAUUUGUUCCUUGCAAGGAGCAAAGUGCUGUAGGGACAGUCCAGUGGGAGGGGCCUCUUGAAGGGGUGAAAGUACCAGUCUGUCGAAUACCUUCACAGAUUAUUUCCCAUAUUUAACAAGUAUCUCCCUUAUCAUGAGGAAAAAAAUGUGAUUUUCCUUCUAGCCCAUAUUUAACCAUCAUAUUUGUGCAUAUGAUUGCAGCUCUGGUGAAAGGACUUGGGAGUCAGCUGCCAGGCUGCAAGGGAUUGAAGCGAAAGCCCCCUAACAGUUAAAGUGUCCAUUAGCUUCUCUACACUUAGCAUCCGUCAGAGAGAAGACGGGCUGGGAGCCCCGGGCGAAUUUCUAACUAGCCUAAUGAGGAGAGAGAUUCUGGGAGCAAAAAAAGUUCAUUUGCUGAAUUUCCAGCAAGAAGUCACUUCAAUAUUGCUUCUAGGAAACACUGACAGGCUUUGUUGGUAAGAAAUCAUUAUGCUGAGAGAGAAAUGGGAUAUUGUUAUAUGAGGUUUUUAAAGAAAAUUCAUUUUGAUAGAUGUCUAACUGUGCAUUCAAUUAAAUUUCCUUCUCUUUCUUAAAAAUAGAUGUCAGGUAAUUGUACUCAAGUUCUGUAAGCUGAAAAGUGUUAUCCUUUCCUUCCAGUUAUUAAAAUUUCUUUAUCAAUAUGUGUCUUUCUUGUCUUAAUCCUUUGACUAUGGGCGGCCCUCAAUGGAAAUACAUGGAGUUCUCCUCUCCUUGCCUGUGGAUGUGUACAUGCCUUCCUGAAGAAUUAAUUAACAAGCUAAACAGAGAAGGAUAACACUCAAGAAGCUGCCUAUAUGUAAGAGAUUCCUUUGAGAACUUUCAAAUGGCUCCUUCCUACAAAAAACCUGGGAAUACUUAACCUCCCACCACCAGCACACUCAAAGCUCAAGGCAAAUGCAUUUUCAAGAUUGACAGGGUCUUGGACUCUGAAAGUCUUUGGACCUGAGAAAAAUUGUGUUAUCUAAGAGUGCAGUUAUUCUGACACAGACUCCCAUAAGGUGCCCAUGACAUGAAACACGGAAGAGAAUAAUAGCAUCUACCUUAAAGAAAGACAUAGUAUAUUCUGGACCACAUAUUUGGUAAUUCUUACAGCCCUUUAAGAUAAUAUUCUAGUUAUGAUUAUCUUUAUUUUGUAGCUCAUAGAUGUCAAAAGACUAGCUCAUAAUUUUAUUGCAAGUACAUAGCAGAACCAAGAUUUGAACUCAGACCUGUCUCAUUCCACAACUAAUAUUCCUUGAAGUCAAUAGAUGCCACUGAUCUCUAAAUGAUCUGCAAAAGGGGCUCGGAGGUGGAGAGGGGAUGUCUGAGGAGCCUUAGGACUACCACCCAAUGCUCUGUCUUUAAAUACAGAUGCUAUCAUAAAUAGAGAUGCUUAAAUAGAGAUGCUAUCACCAAGGUCUCUUUCACACAUACUCCUUCUCUUGCUCAUUUCUAUUCGUGUACUUGGUUCUCAGUGUAAGAUUUUGUUAGAAGA